RNAcentral lists this ribosomal RNA (253 nucleotides) under uncultured bacterium. RNAcentral's name for it is "partial 16S ribosomal RNA". It matches the Rfam family "Bacterial small subunit ribosomal RNA", at positions 524 to 776 of the family's 1533-position model. The record is from RNAcentral.
GACGUAGGGCGCGAGCGUUGUCCGGAUUUAUUGGGCGUAAAGAGCUCGUAGGCGGCUUGUCGCGUCGAAUGUGAAAUCUCAGGGCUCAACUCUGACAUUGCAUUCGAUACGGGCAGGCUCGAGUUCGGUAGGGGAGACUGGAAUUCCUGGUGUAGCGGUGAAAUGCGCAGAUAUCAGGAGGAACACCGGUGGCGAAGGCGGGUCUCUGGGCCGAUACAGACGCUGAGGAGCGAAAGCGUGGGGAGCGAACAGG